UACAGAGGGUGCAAGCGUUGUUCGGAAUUAUUGGGCGUAAAGCGCGUGUAGGCGGCUUUGCAAGUCGGGUGUGAAAGCCCUCAGCUCAACUGAGGAAGUGCGCCCGAAACUGCAGAGCUUGAGUGCCGGAGAGGGUGGCGGAAUUCCCCCAAGUAGAGGUGAAAUUCGUAGAUAUGGGGAGGAACACCGGUGGCGAAGGCGGCCACC
Molecule: ribosomal RNA, 207 nt
Filed under: uncultured bacterium
Lineage: Bacteria
Description: partial 16S ribosomal RNA
Rfam family: Bacterial small subunit ribosomal RNA
Source: RNAcentral